CUAAACAUAGAACCGCAUCAGCCUCCUCUGCAGUAUAAACAGACCCAGGCUCCUGCUCCAGUCCCUUCUUGGCUGUGAAUUGAGGGGCAGUAAGGAGCAGCGUCUGCCCCACCCCGAGGCCCUGGCUGCCCUUGCCACUAGCAGUCUGCGCUCAGGACGGGUGGGGCUGAGGAGCAGACGAGGAUUCGUCUGCUCAGCCCAGCACCAGACACACUGGGCUACCUGCGUGGCCAGACUGGGCAGCAGUGCAAGUUUGUCUCAGAAAUCCAGUUCUUCCUGGAACUGAGUGUCACUUCAGGACAGUGGAUGCCAGGAGUCAACUUGGCCCUGGAGCAACUGAAACUCUUCCAGUCCUGCCUGAGACGGCAGAUCGCUCGGCUUGGGCCGUGGGCCUGAGCGGAGAUUGCAGUUGCGUGAGGAGCUUCUGGAAGCCCCACCAGGGGGCGCCCUCCCCGCGUCUUGAGGUGUUUCUUCACUGAGAAAGUUAUGAAGCUUUUGUUCUCAAUUCUGAGCUUCUUUUUGGGUAUGCAGCAGGUACACCUUAUGCCAAGACCCUUGACUUCAGGGAAUGAAUGACUUAUGAAGGACACCUGGACCCUGUCCUUCUCUGACCAGUUCCUGGAUGCCUAAGAGGAAACAUACACCAGAUCACAGUUGUCAGUAAAAAUACCACACCCAAGCAAAGAUGAGACUCAUGCUUUUUCCUUUCCAAGUCUCCCAGACCUUCUUCCCUCUCUCUCUCCAUAUAUAUAUAUGUAAUAUAUAUAUAUAUAU
Long non-coding RNA from Mustela erminea (ermine), 774 nucleotides. RefSeq lists it as uncharacterized. The record is from RefSeq and is a predicted model, not a curated record. The transcript has 3 exons. NCBI's taxonomy places the organism in Eukaryota, Metazoa, Chordata, Mammalia, Carnivora, Mustelidae.